UGGUGAACCAGCGGAGGGAUCAUUACUGAGUUUACGCUCUACAACCCUUUGUGAACAUACCUAUAACUGUUGCUUCGGCGGGUAGGGUCUCCGUGACCCUCCCGGCCUCCCGCCCCCGGGCGGGUCGGCGCCCGCCGGAGGAUAACCAAACUCUGAUUUAACGACGUUUCUUCUGAGUGGUACAAGCAAAUAAUCAAAACUUUUAACAACGGAUCUCUUGGUUCUGGCAUCGAUGAAGAACGCAGCGAAAUGCGAUAAGUAAUGUGAAUUGCAGAAUUCAGUGAAUCAUCGAAUCUUUGAACGCACAUUGCGCCCGCCAGCAUUCUGGCGGGCAUGCCUGUUCGAGCGUCAUUUCAACCCUCAAGCUCUGCUUGGUGUUGGGGCCCUACAGCUGAUGUAGGCCCUCAAAGGUAGUGGCGGACCCUCCCGGAGCCUCCUUUGCGUAGUAACUUUACGUCUCGCACUGGGAUCCGGAGGGACUCUUGCCGUAAAACCCCCAAUUUUCCAAAGGUUGACCUCGGAUCAGGUAGGAAUACCCGCUGAACUUAAGCAUAUCA
This 557-nucleotide ribosomal RNA is filed under the name Colletotrichum aotearoa. RNAcentral describes it as "eukaryotic LSU rRNA". The stretch from base 198 to 351 matches the Rfam family "5.8S ribosomal RNA". Lineage: Eukaryota; Fungi; Ascomycota; Sordariomycetes; Glomerellales; Glomerellaceae. The record is from RNAcentral.